This 246-nucleotide ribosomal RNA is filed under the name uncultured Gemella sp. RNAcentral describes it as "partial 16S ribosomal RNA". It matches the Rfam family "Bacterial small subunit ribosomal RNA", at positions 116 to 355 of the family's 1533-position model. The record is from RNAcentral. Lineage: Bacteria; Bacillati; Bacillota; Bacilli; Caryophanales; Gemellaceae.
CGUAAAGAACCUGCCUCAUAGACUGGGACAACUAUUGGAAGCGAUAGCUAAUACCGGAUAACAGCAUUAACUGCAUGGUUGAUGUUUAAAAGUUGGUUUUGCUAACACUAUGAGAUGGCUUUGCGGUGCAUUAGCUAGUUGGUGGGGUAAAGGCCUACCAAGGCGACGAUGCAUAGCCGACCUGAGAGGGUGAUCGGCCACACUGGGACUGAGACACGGCCCAGACUCCUACGGGAGGCAGCAGCC